UAUAUAAGCGCCAGGACUGCGAUGCAUCCGGUAUCGCAGUUGACGAGGUAAGGGUUUAUCGAAAGAUUCGGCGGAUGACCCUUCGGCCGAUAGUGGGUUGGUCGUCAGCGGCUUCUGAAAACACGGGAGCAAUCCCGCAACAAGGAAGU
Molecule: non-coding RNA, 149 nt
Filed under: uncultured Butyricicoccus sp.
Lineage: Bacteria; Bacillati; Bacillota; Clostridia; Eubacteriales; Butyricicoccaceae
Description: glmS glucosamine-6-phosphate activated ribozyme
Rfam family: glmS glucosamine-6-phosphate activated ribozyme aptamer
About the family: This entry contains a glucosamine-6-phosphate activated ribozyme that is found in the mRNA for GlmS. GlmS is an enzyme that uses fructose-6-phosphate and glutamine to generate glucosamine-6-phosphate.
Source: RNAcentral